This 478-nucleotide ribosomal RNA is filed under the name uncultured bacterium. RNAcentral describes it as "partial 16S ribosomal RNA". It matches the Rfam family "Bacterial small subunit ribosomal RNA", at positions 28 to 523 of the family's 1533-position model. The record is from RNAcentral.
GACGAACGCUGGCGGCGUGCUUAACACAUGCAAGUCGAACGGUAAGGCCCUUCGGGGUACACGAGUGGCGAACGGGUGAGUAACACGUGGGUGAUCUGCCCUGCACUUCGGGAUAAGCCUGGGAAACUGGGUCUAAUACCGGAUAGGACCCUGGGAUGCAUGUCCUGGGGUGGAAAGCUUUUGCGGUGUGGGAUGGGCCCGCGGCCUAUCAGCUUGUUGGUGGGGUGAUGGCCUACCAAGGCGACGACGGGUAGCCGGCCUGGGAGGGUGACCGGCCACACUGGGACUGGGAGACGGCCCAGAUUCCUACGGGAGGCAGCAGUGGGGAAUAUUACACAAUGGGCGCAAGCCUGAUGCAGCGACGCCGCGUGAGGGAUGACGGCCUUCGGGUUGUAAACCUCUUUCAGCACCGACGAAGCGCAAGUGACGGUAGGUGCAGAAGAAGGACCGGCCAACUACGUGCCAGCAGCCGCGGUAA